GGGGGGAGGCAGGAGGCCAGCGGAGCGGGACCUGCACCCGCGCGAGGAGAGGUCGGCGCCGUCCGAGUCCGCCGCGCUCAGGAAUGUAACCUUUACCCGUGAAGGUGGAAUUUCCGGGCCGGUCCUAGGAGGUCCCGACGGACCCCAGCCUCCCCUGGAGGCAACUUCGCCUAACAAUGCAUUCCUUGCUAAUGAAUUCCUUGUCUCUUUAAUCCCUGGGCUCUGCCUUCUAAAACCUUUCUCUGGUUUAGCUCGGGAGAGCUCCCCUCUGCUUGCUGGGCUGGACGCUGCGCCAAUCCACAAACCCGUUAAUAAAGCCCAUUUAUCCUCGAAUUUGCUGGAUUGAAGGCUUUUUCAACAUGUGAAAGAGAAAUGGGGCGUCUGUGUAUUUGCUUCUCCUGGUUCUUACGGAUUCAUGGUCUUACAGCUCCUAAAGUAGCUGAAAAAACGUGUACAAACAUUUGAAAUUCCAAAGUUGAAUUUGUACCCAAAACAGAAGUAUUUCCAAUAUCUUUUCUUUGUUGUUUCAGAUUCAGAAAGAAUAUUCUUAAGUUUUGUAACAGUUUUAGGUGCAUCUAGCCUGUUUUCAGAAGUCACUCUCUCUCCUUUGCUGUAAGGAGAGGGACAGGCCUAAACAGCACAGAACUUAUUACCAGAAUUUCUCCCUGGAGAAUUGUAGUAACUAUUUCCUCUUUGUUCAAAAUAACAUACCACGCUGGUAAUUUGCGUUUUUUAAAAAGGCCAAAAUGGUUUUGAUUUCCGCAGUGUGCACUUCCUUUUUUGAGAUUCACUACAUUAGUACGUUUAAUUUCUGUGAAAAUUCUUCUGGUGGUGAUGUGUAGCACAAAGCAGAAGGAAGGUAGAUCCUGCAGCCCGCUGCCAAGUCUGAGAGGUGGGCUGAGAAGAUCCUUCUCCAGGAAGCUCCCAGCUGUCUUACCGUUAAUGCAGCGCUGGCGGGACCAACGGCCUCAGACUGACAAUAACCAGGCCCCCAGGACCCUGUGAGUCGUCUUUUGCAUACAAAAGCCCUUUUGGAAACUUCCCCUGUGUUUACCUUCCCCCCACUCCAUGGUACAUAAUCAGUUUUUAAUAAAACUGAUGUGGUUUUGGGGUAUUGGGGUCUGGAGCUGACAGCCAAGGAAAUUCUUCAAAGGUCUUUGGUGCAAAAAGGUGGUUUUAUUAAAGCCUGGUUGGGGCGGGGGGUGGAGCAGGACCCGUGGGCAGGAAGAGCUGCUGGCCCGAGGUUGUGAGGGUGGCUGAUGAUCUCCGUGGGAGCUGGAGGGUGGAGGGGGGGGAGCGGUGAGGACAAAGGGAGGUUUCCAGAAGGCUUUCAUAUGUUAAGGAGGACCUAGGAGACACCGGAGGCCUGCCUAUUGUCAGGCUGAGGCUGUUUGUCCCUCCAGCGAGGCAUCUAAGUGAAGGCAGUUGGGAGCUUCCUGGAGGAAGGUUCUACUCUGCCGGUCUCAAGUCUUUGUCAAGGAAGGAGCUGCAGGUUUUAAGGACAUUUAAUUUUAUUUGCAUUUCCUUCUGCUUCUGUCUCCCCCACAUCUUCUGUGAUCUUAGGGCUCCAGGACAUUGAAUCUAUGGGUCUCUGGAAGUCAGGCUACUGAUAAGAACACUUACUCCUUGUAAAUCACUAAGACUGGUCCAGUAGAGGAGAUUCCUGUCCUGCAGGACGGUGAUCUCUAAUCACUCAGCCAUUUGUUUUUCCUUCCCUUAAUUUUAGGGCAGCCAGGAAUGCCUGAGGAAUGUCACACACAUCCCCCCUGGAGGGAGGGAGGGUUGAGGGUGUCAGCUUAUACUCUGUCCUCAGCCUGCCUUCUCCUUCAUGAAAACCACCUUUUUGGCACUGAAAUCAUCUCCAUUCUUUCUUGACCCCUCGCUCCUGGAUCCCACAUCAAAUCACAUCAAUUGUAAAGCAGGACAUGAAACUCCACAGUACUUUGAAACUGUCUAAUGGUUUACAAGAAAAACACAAUCCUAAUCAUAACCAGACCUCCAAGAACCUAUAGACUCAAUUUCCUGCAGCCCUAACAUCACCUUCAUCUCCAUAGGACAAAAGACCGUAUAUAAUCAGUCACUCCUCACAGGUUCGAAUGAAGCUCUUUGCCCUCAGGUCCUGUCCCUGGGCUUUCAUAAAACCACCUCUUUGCACCAAAGACGUCUCAAGAAGUCUUUCUUGACCAUAGCGCUCCACGAUCCCACAUCAAACUUCUUUAUUAAUAUGUGCUAAUUACAUUUAGAAAGAAUAAUGGAGUUUGGGCAACAAAAUGGAAUUGCAGAUCAUAAUUGUGAUUUACUUUUUAAAAUUUCAUUUAUUUAUUUAUUCAUGAGAGACACAGAGAGGCAGAGAGAGAGGCGUCCCAAGAUUCCUAAUGUUUUUACAAGAAUGUUCUUCCUCAGUCAACGCAAAAUGUUUUGACUAAUUGUGUUGCACAACUGAUUCAUUAUCUAAAUCUGAGUCUGAAGGCAAGAAUACAGAAGUAAAGAAAUCAGAUGAGUAGAAACUGGAGGAUUGGCAAGAUCAAUGUCAGGGCGGCUGGAAGCCUGUGGACAGAAAAUAACAAGCGUUGGUGAGGAUGUGGAGAAACUGGAAUCUGUACAGUCUAGGGGGAAGGCAAAAUGGUGCAGCUGAUCGGGAAAUAAGUUUGACAGUUCCUCAGAAACUUAACCAUGGAGCUACCGUGGGGCCCAGCAAUUCCACCCCCAAGUGCACACCCAGAACGAAUGAAAACAUAAGUCCACACAAACACGUAUAAACAAAUGUUUACAGCUGCAUUCUUCCUGAUGGUAGAAAAGUGGAAAUAGCUCAAGGGUCCUUCGACUGAUGAGCACAAAGGCUAAAUGUGGUCUACUCGUAGACUGGAAUGUUAUUUGGCAAUAAAAUGGCUUGAUGUACAGAUACAAGCUACCACAUGGGUAAGCCUUGAAUAUGUUAUGCGAUGUGAAAGAAGCCCGUCACAAAAGGCCAAUAUUGUAUGGUUCUAUUCCUAUGAACUGUCCAGAAUGGACAAAUGUAUGGAGGAAGAAAAUGUUAUGGGUCAAUUGAGAGUGACCACUAAUGGGUAAGGGGACUCCUUUUGAAGGUAAUGAGAACAUUCUGGAAUUGGGUGGUGGUAACAACUGCAUGACCUUGUGAGUAAACUAGAACAAUUGAAAUGUACACUUUUUUUUUUUAAGAUUCUAUUCAUGAGACACACACACACACACACAGAG
Canis lupus familiaris (dog) is the source of this 3216-nucleotide long non-coding RNA. RefSeq lists it as uncharacterized. The transcript has 3 exons. The record is from RefSeq and is a predicted model, not a curated record. Lineage: Eukaryota; Metazoa; Chordata; Mammalia; Carnivora; Canidae.